RNAcentral lists this ribosomal RNA (368 nucleotides) under uncultured organism. RNAcentral describes it as "bacterial SSU rRNA". It matches the Rfam family "Bacterial small subunit ribosomal RNA", at positions 526 to 896 of the family's 1533-position model. The record is from RNAcentral.
CGGAGGGUGCAAGCGUUAUCCGGAUUCACUGGGUUUAAAGGGUGCGUAGGUGGGUAAGUAAGUCAGUGGUGAAAUCUCCGGGCUUAACCCGGAAACUGCCAUUGAUACUAUUUGUCUUGAAUACUGUGGAGGUCAGCGGAAUAUGUCAUGUAGCGGUGAAAUGCUUAGAUAUGACAUAGAACACCAAUUGCGAAGGCAGCUGGCUACACAAAUAUUGACACUGAGGCACGAAAGCGUGGGGAUCAAACAGGAUUAGAUACCCUGGUAGUCCACGCCCUAAACUAUGGAUACUCGACAUUUGCGAUAAACUGCAAGUGUCUGAGCGAAAGCAUUAAGUAUCCCACCUGGGAAGUACAAUCGCAAGAUUG